CAGUCGCCACGGGAAUACGAAGGGUGCAAGCGUUACUCGGAAUUACUGGGCGUAAAGCGUGCGUAGGUGGUGGUUUAAGUCCGUUGUGAAAGCCCUGGGCUCAACCUGGGAAUUGCAGUGGAUACUGGGUCACUAGAGUGUGGUAGAGGGUAGUGGAAUUUCCGGUGUAGCAGUGAAAUGCGUAGAGAUCGGAAGGAACAUCUGUGGCGAAGGCGACUAUCUGGGCCAACACUGACACUGAGGCACGAAAGCGUGGGGAGCAAACAGGAUUAGAUACCCGUGUAGUCCCUGUCUCUUAUAC
This 301-nucleotide ribosomal RNA is filed under the name uncultured bacterium. Its description in RNAcentral is "partial 16S ribosomal RNA". It matches the Rfam family "Bacterial small subunit ribosomal RNA", at positions 509 to 807 of the family's 1533-position model. The record is from RNAcentral.